GCUUGCUCCCACUCCAGUUUCACACCAGUACACUCCGCUAUCUGUGGCAGGGAAGGCAGCAAUGACGGAGCAGGACAAUGGACAUGGAUGCACCUGAAGGGGAGUGAAUCAGAAGUCAUCCAACAUUUACGAAGAAGCAGAGAGAGAGCUGUUACUUCCAUCCUGACCUGCUGCUGACUGAGAGAGAGAGUGAGAGGACAGAAAAGACGAGUGAAGACCCAAGACAGGAUGUGCAGAAGCAGAACUAGACAGACAGAUAGAUACAUGAGGGCAUUAAUUUCUAUUUAUUUCAAUACAGAACGCAUUUUUUGUAUGGUAUACUUUUCAUUUGAGUCAACUUAAGUGUAUGAUUUACUGUUUUUGGAGGUUUUAGUUUUUUUGUUUGUGUAAUCUUAGGGAAAGAAUCUCCUAAUGACUCAUUAUCUCACACCUGUUGUCCAAAAUACCCAAUUAAAAGGGUCAAGCUACGGUACUGUUUCUUCACUGUUUAUGUAACUAAUAGAGACUUUUUCCCCAAUAUUCCAUAAUCUUCCUCUCCUCUACUGACUCGAGGUGUUUCUGUACAAGCCAAGUUGAACUUAUGUAUUAUUAUUUUAUUAUUUAUUUUACAUUAUGUUAUUAUUUAGCUUUGAUAUAUGGAGCCUUUUUUGUCUUUUGGCUAGAUUGAUUUGUUUUGAUUGAACCACAAGAUGACGCCAUAAUGUGUAAAGCAGACACACAUGACCUAACAGCUGAUACAGAUGAUGCCUUGUUUGAUGUUUGAAAAUGUAUAAAAAGUGGUUUUCAACCCAUUAUUCCUGUUUAGCCCCUUUAUGAAGGUAUAAGUUGAAAUGUUGGGCUUUGUUCCAACAUAAUGCCAUUUGAAUAAAGAGGAAGUUGAUAUCCACUUUCAAAUUGCCAUGUAAUUAAUAAAGGCUUUUUCCUCAAUAUUCCA
Thunnus maccoyii (southern bluefin tuna) is the source of this 934-nucleotide long non-coding RNA. RefSeq lists it as uncharacterized. The transcript has 2 exons. The record is from RefSeq and is a predicted model, not a curated record. NCBI's taxonomy places the organism in Eukaryota, Metazoa, Chordata, Actinopteri, Scombriformes, Scombridae.